RNAcentral lists this ribosomal RNA (630 nucleotides) under Symbiodinium sp. RNAcentral describes it as "partial large subunit ribosomal RNA". It matches the Rfam family "Bacterial large subunit ribosomal RNA", at positions 1928 to 2628 of the family's 2925-position model. The record is from RNAcentral. Lineage: Eukaryota; Dinophyceae; Suessiales; Symbiodiniaceae.
GUUUGGCUGUAAAAUAUAACGGUCCUAAGGUAGCAAAUUUCCUUGUCGUCCUAAUAACGACCUGCAUGAAACAUAGAACGAUUCGAUAGCUGUCUUGCACACACAUCAUGGUAAAAUAUUCAUCAGUACAAAGAAUAUGCUGGUGAGCUAAGACCACACUAAAGGACAAAAAGACCCUCUGAAGCUUUAUAGGGAUAAAAUCUAGUACACAUCCAGGCGUUUAUAAGCUGAUGGCCCCAAGAAGCGAGACGAUGACGAUAAAGAGCCAGAAGAUGCAGCGUGGUAAACACAAGACUGUUUAAUUGGGGCGAUAAGCUUAUCUAAUCCACCUAAGGUGAACAAAGCCAUCCAAUGAGCCCAACUAAUAAGUGCAAAGAUACAUGUUUCGCUUAAUGGCCCAAGAAGUCCUUCCCAGUAUUUAAAUGCUAUCUUAAUGAGCUUAAAAUUAAUCUACCAACACCAAGCUACUCUACGGAUAACAGGCUUAAUUUCGGCAAUACGAAAGCUCACAUUAUCAAGAAAAAUGCACCUCGAUGUCGGCUUAUCAUCACCAAAAUCUGUAGCUAGCUUAUUGGUGGGAGUGCUCAUCCCGUAAAUCGGUACGUGAGCUGGGUCAAAUAACAAAGGGAA